AUCCUUAUGUGCAUUGGAAUAUGUCUGGCUGAUACUGGAAUAAGAAAUUUUAAUACAUCCUCGCUGCAGAGACCUCUAGUCAUCUACCAAAGAUGUGUCGUUAUCUUCAAUAGCACUGAGUUGUCAAGAAGCAGUGGUCCAGCAGGUGACCACAUUCCCCUUACUCCUGUGCAUUUUGGUGGGGCCCUAUGCCUGAUUCUCAUUAAGGAAACAUAAGCAGAGUGACAUAUAUGUCACUUCUGGGCUUAGGUAAAUUAAAAUCUUUUUUUUUAAGAUUUUAUUUAUUCAUGAGAGACACAGAAAGAGAAAGGCAGACAUAGGCAGAGGGAGAAGCAGGCUCCAUGCAGGGAGCCUGAUGCGGGACCUGAUCUCAGACCUGGGGAUCACGCCGUGAGCCAAAGGCAGGUGCUCAACCAUUGAACCACCCAGACGUCCCAGGUAAAUUAAAAUCUGAUAGAGUUCCUCAACAUUCUCACUUCUCCUAUAUGGCAUUUGGCUGGAGAACCCCCAGCGCAAUUUUGGAAGCCACAUGCUGAAAAAGUUUAAGCAUCUGUUAGCCUAGAUCCCCGAGCAACUAUAAGGAGCCAAGCGCACCCCUCCUGCCUAACCUCCCACCCACUACCUUAUUACCAAUCAAAAACUCAUUCUGUACUUAGGCAAGAAAUAAAUAUCUAGAGUGUUAAUACAUUUGUCUUUGGAGAUUCAUCUAUUACAAAAACCAGACUGAUCUUGGCAAAUAAACACCUCCAUGUGGACAUACCCUCCUACCACUACUCAAGAUCAAGAGUUACUGCUAUGGUUAGGCAAGAAAUCUGUGACACUAGCCAUCAUGACCAUCUUAAACCAAAGGAAAAAAUGUCCCCAUCUUUGAAAAAUGUUUGUAAAGGAAUUCACAAAUACUAUACCAGGCUUGGCAAAGAUGGAAAGGCUCUAUUCACGAAGGCAGAAAACAAGCCACAGGACUUACCCCACAGCAAAACUCACUUGCUGGAUGCCAACACACUACAGAUUUCAACAGCCUGCCAUGUCCUCCCUUCAUUCCUCCCCGUCUGCUCGGGGUGGAGGAGGGGGCAGAAAAAUACAACCUGCCACAAGACUGUGAUUAAAGAGCAUCUAAGAGUGAAAAGGCUACAGACAAAUUUGGUUUGUUUACUUCCUCCUCCUCCUCCUCCUCAAUCCUGUUACCAGCUU
Molecule: long non-coding RNA, 1191 nt
Filed under: Vulpes vulpes (red fox)
Lineage: Eukaryota; Metazoa; Chordata; Mammalia; Carnivora; Canidae
Description: lncRNA (ENSVVUG00000007420.1)
Source: RNAcentral